GAAAUGCGAUAAGUAAUGUGAAUUGCAGAAUUCAGUGAAUCAUCGAAUCUUUGAACGCACAUUGCGCCCCUCGGUAUUCCGGGGGGCAUGCCUGUUCGAGCGUCAUUACACCAAUCAAGCCUCGCUUGGUCUUGGGCGUUCGCGGUUCUGCCGCGCGCCCCAAAGUCUCCGGCUGAGCCGUCCGUCUCGAAGCGUUGUGAUCUAAUCGAAUCGCUUGCGGGAUCGGGUUGGCUUGUUCGCCGUCAAAACCCCCGUUCUUAACAGGUUGACCUCGGAUCAGGUAGGGAUACCCGCUGAACUUAA
RNAcentral lists this unclassified non-coding RNA (303 nucleotides) under uncultured fungus. Its description in RNAcentral is "sequence contains ITS1". The stretch from base 1 to 105 matches the Rfam family "5.8S ribosomal RNA", at positions 50 to 154 of the family's 154-position model. Lineage: Eukaryota; Fungi. The record is from RNAcentral.